RNAcentral lists this non-coding RNA (23 nucleotides) under Cricetulus griseus (Chinese hamster). Lineage: Eukaryota; Metazoa; Chordata; Mammalia; Rodentia; Cricetidae. The record is from RNAcentral.
CGUUCCAUUUUAUUUCUGAGGUU